Molecule: ribosomal RNA, 823 nt
Filed under: alpha proteobacterium ST2-11
Lineage: Bacteria; Pseudomonadati; Pseudomonadota; Alphaproteobacteria
Description: bacterial SSU rRNA
Rfam family: Bacterial small subunit ribosomal RNA
Source: RNAcentral
GGGGUUAGUGGCGGACGGGUGAGUAACACGUGGGAACGUGCCUUUAGGUUCGGAAUAGCUCCUGGAAACGGGUGGUAAUGCCGAAUGUGCCCUUCGGGGGAAAGAUUUAUCGCCUUUAGAGCGGCCCGCGUCUGAUUAGCUAGUUGGUGAGGUAACGGCUCACCAAGGCGACGAUCAGUAGCUGGUCUGAGAGGAUGACCAGCCACACUGGGACUGAGACACGGCCCANACUCCUACGGGAGGCAGCAGUGGGGAAUCUUGCGCAAUGGGCGAAAGCCUGACGCAGCCAUGCCGCGUGAAUGAUGAAGGUCUUAGGAUUGUAAAAUUCUUUCACCGGGGACGAUAAUGACGGUACCCGGAGAAGAAGCCCCGGCUAACUUCGUGCCAGCAGCCGCGGUAAUACGAAGGGGGCUAGCGUUGCUCGGAAUUACUGGGCGUAAAGGGCGCGUAGGCGGAUCGUUAAGUCAGAGGUGAAAUCCCAGGGCUCAACCCUGGAACUGCCUUUGAUACUGGCGAUCUUGAGUAUGAGAGAGGUAUGUGGAACUCCGAGUGUAGAGGUGAAAUUCUGACAUAUUCGGAAGAACACCAGUGGCGAAGGCGACAUACUGGCUCAUUACUGACUCUGAAGCGCGAAAGCGUGGCGAGCAGACAAGAUUAGAUCCUGUGAUAGUCCACGCCGUAAGCGAUGAUUGCUAGUUGUCGGGCUGCAUGCAGUUCGGUGACGCAGCUAACGCAUUAAGCAAUCCGCCUGGGGAGUACGGUCGCAAGAUUAAAACUCAAAGGAAUUGACGGGGGCCCGCACAAGCGGUGGAGCAUGUGGUUU